This is a long non-coding RNA of Ornithodoros turicata, 789 nucleotides long. RefSeq lists it as uncharacterized. The transcript is spliced from 4 exons. Lineage: Eukaryota; Metazoa; Arthropoda; Arachnida; Ixodida; Argasidae. The record is from RefSeq and is a predicted model, not a curated record.
CGUCCGUGCGUAUUGCCACAGUUUGAUGUACAAGUGAGAGACAUGGACGGCAGUAUAGUUUCAGGGUUCGUUAUGAAGACGUUUGACAAGUAGCUAAGUUGAGAAGUUGUUUGAGAACUCGCUACCAAUGACCGAGUCCAGAACAACACUGGGAUCAGUCAAUGAAGGAUUUGCCAAGUUACAGCAGCCUCCUAUCCAUCACAAGCUUUUGGCCUGAACGCAGACAUGGUAAGCUGUAGUACUCUUUCUCUAAUUUCAGGUUAAACCAGGGCCAGUGCAUUCAUUGCGUGGGAAUCAGCUUGUACACAUGGAUAGCGUAAGCUAGCUUGCAGUACGACAAAAAGGAUGCUGUGUCAGGGGUAACUGACUGUCCUCUGUCCUAUGCACUUUAAGAUUGCUCUCAGCAGAAGAUUACUCACUUCUAUCUUCCCAGUUCAGAAGAACAAGUCAGCGUCAUUUGCAAGGUUUUUCAUUUCUAUCCCAAGCAGAGCACCCAGUGAUGCAAUUCUUAACAUUUUCCUAUCUAUAUAGGUAACCACAACAGUUCUUUCACAGCGGCCUGUCCUGCAGCAUCCCAAUGAACAACUACUGUACGACCCGUAUGGGAAUUUUUUUUCAUGAGCAGAUCAACAAUGCCAAGGUUACCUCACGAAGAUCCGGGUGCCUCAAGCGUCUCUACCUUCAUGGGAAAUGAAAUAGACAAAUAUGUCGUGACUGUACCACGCAUCGCGAACUCAGAAAUGUCACAAAUCAGGAGCAGCAGAUGGAAGCAACAAAGAGGACAUUUAA